This 446-nucleotide ribosomal RNA is filed under the name uncultured bacterium. RNAcentral's name for it is "partial 16S ribosomal RNA". It matches the Rfam family "Bacterial small subunit ribosomal RNA", at positions 355 to 787 of the family's 1533-position model. The record is from RNAcentral.
UGGGGAAUUUUGGACAAUGGGGGCAACCCUGAUCCAGCAAUGCCGCGUGUGUGAAGAAGGGCCUUCGGGUUGUAAAGCACUUUUGUCCGGAAAGAAAUCGCCCUGGCUAAUAUCCGGGGUGGAUGACGGUACUGGAAGAAUAAGCACCGGCUAACUACGUGCCAGCAGCCGCGGUAAUACGUAGGGUGCAAGCGUUAAUCGGAAUUGCUGGGCGUAAAGCGUGCGCAGGCGGGUUGUGCAAAGACAGAUGUGAAAUCCCCGGGCUUAACCUGGGAAUGGCAAUUUGUGCACUGCACGGCUAGAGUGUGUCAGAGGGGGGUAGAAUUCCACGUGUAGCAGUGAAAUGCGUAGAUAUGUGGAGGAACACCGAUGGCGAAGGCAGCCCCCUGGGAUAACACUGACGCUCAUGCACGAAAGCGUGGGGGAGCAAACAGGAUUAGAUACCC